CUACGGGGGGCAGCAGUGGGGAAUAUUGGACAAUGGGCGCAAGCCUGAUCCAGCAAUGCCGCGUGGGUGAAGAAGGUCUUCGGAUCGUAAAGCCCUUUCGACAGGGACGAUGAUGACGGUACCUGUAGAAGAAGCCCCGGCUAACUUCGUGCCAGCAGCCGCGGUAAUACGAAGGGGGCUAGCGUUGCUCGGAAUUACUGGGCGUAAAGGGCGCGUAGGCGGCUUAGUCAGUCAGGCGUGAAAUUCCUGGGCUUAACCUGGGGGCUGCGCUUGAUACGGCUAGGCUUGAGGGUAGGAGAGGGUCGUGGAAUUCCCAGUGUAGAGGUGAAAUUCGUAGAUAUUGGGAAGAACACCGGUGGCGAAGGCGGCGACCUGGCCUAUUACUGACGCUGAGGCGCGACAGCGUGGGGAGCAAACAGGAUUA
Molecule: ribosomal RNA, 424 nt
Filed under: uncultured bacterium
Lineage: Bacteria
Description: bacterial SSU rRNA
Rfam family: Bacterial small subunit ribosomal RNA
Source: RNAcentral